Molecule: ribosomal RNA, 467 nt
Filed under: uncultured bacterium
Lineage: Bacteria
Description: partial 16S ribosomal RNA
Rfam family: Bacterial small subunit ribosomal RNA
Source: RNAcentral
GAUGAACGCUGGCGGCGUGCUUAACACAUGCAAGUCGAACGGAAAGGCCCAAGCUUGCUUGGGUACUCGAGUGGCGAACGGGUGAGUAACACGUGGGUGAUCUGCCCUGCACUUCGGGAUAAGCCUGGGAAACUGGGUCUAAUACCGGAUAGGACCACUUCUUGGAUGUUGUGGUGGAAAGUUUUUUCGGUGUGGGAUGAGCUCGCGGCCUAUCAGCUUGUUGGUGGGGUAAUGGCCUACCAAGGCGUCGACGGGUAGCCGGCCUGAGAGGGUGUACGGCCACAUUGGGACUGAGAGACGGCCCAGACUCCUACGGGAGGCAGCAGUGGGGAAGAUUGCCCAAUGGGCGCCAGCCUGAUGCAGCGACGCCGCGUGGGGGAUGACGGCCUUCGGGUUGUAAACUACUUUCGCUAGGGACGAAGCGUUUUGUGACGGUACCUGGAGAAGAAGCACCGGCUAACUACGUG